GAUGAACGCUGGCGGCGUGCCUAAUACAUGCAAGUCGAGCGAGCGGACGAGAAGCUUGCUUUUCUGAUGUUAGCGGCGGACGGGUGAGUAACACGUGGAUAACCUACCUAUAAGACUGGGAUAACUUCGGGAAACCGGAGCUAAUACCGGAUAAUAUUUUGAACCGCAUGGUUCAAAAGUGAAAGACGGUCUUGCUGUCACUUAUAGAUGGAUCCGCGCUGCAUUAGCUAGUUGGUAAGGUAACGGCUUACCAAGGCAACGAUGCAUAGCCGACCUGAGAGGGUGAUCGGCCACCCUGGAACUGAGACACGGUCCAGACUCCUACGGGAGGCAGCAGUAGGGAAUCUUCCGCAAUGGGCGAAAGCCUGACGGAGCAACGCCGCGUGAGUGAUGAAGGUCUUCGGAUCGUAAAACUCUGUUAUUAGGGAAGAACAUAUGUGUAAGUAACUGUGCUCAUCUUGACGGUACCUAAUCAGAAAGCCACGGCUAACUACGUG
This 497-nucleotide ribosomal RNA is filed under the name uncultured bacterium. RNAcentral's name for it is "partial 16S ribosomal RNA". It matches the Rfam family "Bacterial small subunit ribosomal RNA", at positions 28 to 507 of the family's 1533-position model. The record is from RNAcentral.